Molecule: ribosomal RNA, 413 nt
Filed under: uncultured bacterium
Lineage: Bacteria
Description: bacterial SSU rRNA
Rfam family: Bacterial small subunit ribosomal RNA
Source: RNAcentral
AACGAACGCUGGCGGCGUGCCUAACACAUGCAAGUCGUGCGAGAAAGUUCCUUCGGGAGCGAGUAAAGCGGCGCACGGGUGAGUAACACGUAGGUAACCUGCCCCCCAGUCUGGAACAACUAGAGGAAACUCUAGCUAAUGCCGGAUGAGACCACGAUCCCUUCGGGGGUUGCGGCCAAAGAUGGCCUCUACUUGUAAGCUAUCGCUGAGGGAUGGGCCUGCGGCCAUUAGCUUGUUGGUGAGGUAACGGCUCACCAAGGCUGUGAUGGCUAGCUGGUCUGAGAGGAUGACCAGCCACACUGGGACUGAGACACGGCCCAGACUCCUACGGGAGGCAGCAGUGGGAAUAUUGCGCAAUGGCGAAAGCCUGACGCAGCGACGCCGCGUGGGUGAUGAAGGCCUCGGUCGGUAAG